UACGUAGGGGGCAAGCGUUGUCCGGAGUUACUGGGCGUAAAGGGCCCGCAGGCGGUCCGAGAAGUUUGCCGUGACAGUGCCCGGCUCAACUGGGCAAGGAUGGUGAAAACUGACGGACUUGAGAGCGAGAGAGGGAUGAGGAAUUCCGCGUGGAGUGGUGAAAUGCGUAGAGAUGCGGAGGAACACCGAUGGCGAAGGCAGCAUCCUGGCUCGUAUCUGACGCUCAGGGGCGAAAGCUAGGGGAGCGAACGGG
Molecule: ribosomal RNA, 253 nt
Filed under: uncultured bacterium
Lineage: Bacteria
Description: partial 16S ribosomal RNA
Rfam family: Bacterial small subunit ribosomal RNA
Source: RNAcentral